This 396-nucleotide ribosomal RNA is filed under the name uncultured bacterium. Its description in RNAcentral is "partial 16S ribosomal RNA". It matches the Rfam family "Bacterial small subunit ribosomal RNA", at positions 523 to 918 of the family's 1533-position model. The record is from RNAcentral.
AUACGUAGGUGGCAAGCGUUGUCCGGAAUUAUUGGGCGUAAAGCGCAUGUAGGCGGUGCCUUAAGUCUGUCGUGAAACUGCGGGGCCUAACCCCGUAUGGCGAUGGAAACUGCGGCACUUGAGUGCAGGAGAGGAAAGGGGAACUCCCAGUGUAGCGGUGAAAUGCGUAGAUAUUGGGAAGAACACCGGUGGCGAAGGCGCCUUUCUGGACUGUGUCUGACGCUGAGAUGCGAAAGCCAGGGUAGCGAACGGGAUUAGAUACCCCGGUAGUCCUGGCCGUAAACGAUGGGUACUAGGUGUGGGAGGUAUCGACCCCUUCCGUGCCGGAGUUAACGCAAUAAGUACCCCGCCUGGGGAGUACGGCCGCAAGGCUUAAACUCAAAGGAAUUGACGGGG